AUGCGCUCUGUACUACUUGAACUGCUUGCUGCAUCUAUGACCCCUUCUCGUCCUAUAGUCCUCAAUCAAUGGACACAACAUGGCUAUAAUGUUCCUGCCAUUCAAAUUACUCUAAAUUUUUAUGGUCAACACUUAAUUUUUGCACUUCCAGGUGGCAUUCAAAAGAUCAGCUCGGCGCCAUGCGGGACGCUGCAGAGUUGUCGUGGUGACCAUGCUGAAGUGAGGUCAAGGCGCUGGAGUCCGGCGGCACUGCUGCAUGUUGCAUGUUCUUUCUUGCUGAGGUCGAGCAGCUGGAGUGCGGUUGUGUACAUGCUCGUCACCCUCCUAGAGUCCAGCUAUGCUGUUGGCUUUCUCUUGUCGCUGUUUGUCUAA
RNAcentral lists this ribosomal RNA (372 nucleotides) under Triticum aestivum (bread wheat). RNAcentral's name for it is "partial small subunit ribosomal RNA". The record is from RNAcentral. Lineage: Eukaryota; Viridiplantae; Streptophyta; Magnoliopsida; Poales; Poaceae.